This 429-nucleotide ribosomal RNA is filed under the name Acidobacteriota bacterium. RNAcentral describes it as "Acidobacteria bacterium partial 16S ribosomal RNA". It matches the Rfam family "Bacterial small subunit ribosomal RNA", at positions 355 to 776 of the family's 1533-position model. The record is from RNAcentral. Lineage: Bacteria; Pseudomonadati; Acidobacteriota.
UGGGGAAUUUUGGACAAUGGGGGAAACCCUGAUCCAGCCAUCCCGCGUGUGCGAUGAAGGCCUUCGGGUUGUUAAGCACUUUUGGCAGGAAAGAAACGUCAUGGGUUAAUACCCCGUGAAACUGACGGUACCUGCAGAAUAAGCACCGGCUAACUACGUGCCAGCAGCCGCGGUAAUACGUAGGGUGCAAGCGUUAAUCGGAAUUACUGGGCGUAAAGCGUGCGCAGGCGGUUCGGAAAGAAAGAUGUGAAAUCCCAGAGCUCAACUUUGGAACUGCAUUUUUAACUACCGGGCUAGAGUGUGUCAGAGGGAGGUGGAAUUCCGCGUGUAGCAGUGAAAUGCGUAGAUAUGCGGAGGAACACCGAUGGCGAAGGCAGCCUCCUGGGAUAACACUGACGCUCAUGCACGAAAGCGUGGGGAGCAAACAGG